This 519-nucleotide ribosomal RNA is filed under the name uncultured eukaryote. RNAcentral describes it as "SSU rRNA". It matches the Rfam family "Eukaryotic small subunit ribosomal RNA", at positions 1161 to 1693 of the family's 1831-position model. The record is from RNAcentral.
AGGGCACCACCAGGAGUGGAGCCUGCGGCUUAAUUUGACUCAACACGGGAAACCUCACCAGGCCCAGACACCGGGAGGAUUGACAGAUUGAGAGCUCUUCCUUGAUUCGGUGGGUGGUGGUGCAUGGCCGUUCUUAGUUGGUGGAGCGAUUUGUCUGGUUAAUUCCGAUAACGAACGAGACUCUAGCCUGCUAAAUAGUCGCAUCCGGUAUCCUCUGUGCUACCGGCGACCAACAAUCUUCUUAGAGGGACAGGCGGCUUCUAGCCGCACGAGAUUGAGCAAUGACAGGUCUGUGAUGCCCUUAGAUGUUCUGGGCCGCACGCGCGCUACACUGAAGGAAUCAGCGUGUCCUCCCUGGCCGAAAGGUCCGGGUAACCCGCUGAACCUCCUUCGUGCUAGGGAUUGGGGCUUGCAAUUGUUCCCCACGAACGAGGAAUUCCCAGUAAGCGCGAGUCAUAAGCUCGCGUUGAUUACGUCCCUGCCCUUUGUACACACCGCCCGUCGCUACUACCGAUUGAA